GGGGCGGUAGCUCAGUGGUAGAGUGGAAGAUUGCAAUGACCUGAUUGGUUAACCAAAUAUUGCAACCUAUCUUUAGGUCGCCGGUUCGAACCCGGCCCGUCCCU
This is a transfer RNA of 104 nucleotides. It matches the Rfam family "tRNA". Rfam says of the family: Transfer RNA (tRNA) molecules are approximately 80 nucleotides in length. Their secondary structure includes four short double-helical elements and three loops (D, anti-codon, and T loops). Further hydrogen bonds mediate the characteristic L-shaped molecular structure. tRNAs have two regions of fundamental functional importance: the anti-codon, which is responsible for specific mRNA codon recognition, and the 3' end, to which the tRNAs corresponding amino acid is attached (by aminoacyl-tRNA synthetases). tRNAs cope with the degeneracy of the genetic code in two manners: having more than one tRNA (with a specific anti-codon) for a particular amino acid; and 'wobble' base-pairing, i.e. permitting non-standard base-pairing at the 3rd anti-codon position. The record is from Rfam.